Manis javanica (Malayan pangolin) is the source of this 840-nucleotide non-coding RNA. Lineage: Eukaryota; Metazoa; Chordata; Mammalia; Pholidota; Manidae. The record is from RefSeq and is a predicted model, not a curated record.
UUGAAGGCCAAUACAGAGACAGUGAAAUUCUUUUAUGCCAGGAAAAAUAAAAUGCUGGGUAUCACAUGGAAUUUCAUAACCUGAUUUCAAAAGGAUUAUACAAAGAGGAAAUAAAACUUAGCACUGUGAACUGCUGCGCAGGAUAUAUUUGUCAACAGAAUUUUUCCAUGAUAUCAUUAACAGCAACAUGAAAAAAAAAGAUUAUUGUUGACUUGAAGCCUGAAAUUCUUUGUCCUCAGACUGUGAAUCAUAGUUUCUUCAUUUUGUCAGAUGAACUUCCAAAGGCUACCUUUUUUACUUCUCACUUAGAGAAAAAUGAACAGGCGGAAUUGCUGGAUUUGUAAGACGUGCAGAGAUGAAUCCAAGAGGCCCCCUUCAAACCUUACUUUGGAGGAAGCGUCGCAGUGGGCCCAGUCUUUUGAAAAGCUGAUGGCUACAAAAUACACACCUCUUCUGAUGGAAGACUGCAACAUAGCUCACCUGUAGGAUUUAAUGGUGUGAGUCUUGCCGCCUUGCAGAAAGCAGUCCUGGAAAGAUGCACCACUGUUUUGACUCAUCCAAGAGGAAUGUCACAUUUCCCUCCUGCAUCAAGAGACCAGCAUGUAAAUGCUUCCUUAAAGGGAUCUGUCUCUAUCUGAGUUUUCUCUUUUUAAUAAAAUGCCUUUCUAUCUCUUUUUUGGUAUCACCGCUGACAGAGCCAGCAGAAGCCAAGGAGUCAAGGAGACUGGCUUUUUAGUGCUAGAAAUUCAAUCUAAUCUCUUAUGUAAAGAGCUAAGAAAAUAUGGUUUUACUCACCAUUGUCAUUCCAUCUGAUUACCAUUUCUUGUAAGAGUUAAUAAU